This 431-nucleotide ribosomal RNA is filed under the name uncultured bacterium. RNAcentral describes it as "partial 16S ribosomal RNA". It matches the Rfam family "Bacterial small subunit ribosomal RNA", at positions 29 to 507 of the family's 1533-position model. The record is from RNAcentral.
AACGAACGCUGGCGGCAGGCUUAACACAUGCAAGUCGAGCGCCCCGCAAGGGGAGCGGCAGACAGGUGAGUAACGCGUGGGAACGUACCUUUUGGUUCGGAACAACUCCGGGAAACUGGAGCUAAUACCGGAUAAGCCCUAACGGGGAAAGAUUUAUCGCCGAAAGAUCGGCCCGCGUCUGAUUAGCUAGUUGGUGAGGUAACGGCUCACCAAGGCGACGAUCAGUAGCUGGUCUGAGAGGAUGAUCAGCCACACUGGGACUGAGACACGGCCCAGACUCCUACGGGAGGCAGCAGUGGGGAAUAUUGGACAAUGGGCGCAAGCCUGAUCCAGCCAUGCCGCGUGAGUGAUGAAGGCCUUAGGGUUGUAAAGCUCUUUUGUCCGGGAAGAUAAUGACUGUACCGGAAGAAUAAGCCCCGGCUAACUUCGUG